GGGCCCGUAGCUCAGCAAGGUAGAGCGCUGGGCUCCAGACCCAGUGGUCCGGGGUUCGAGUCCCCGCGGGCCCA
Molecule: transfer RNA, 74 nt
Filed under: Sulfolobaceae archaeon
Lineage: Archaea; Thermoproteati; Thermoproteota; Thermoprotei; Sulfolobales; Sulfolobaceae
Description: tRNA-Trp
Rfam family: tRNA
About the family: Transfer RNA (tRNA) molecules are approximately 80 nucleotides in length.
Source: RNAcentral